CAGAAGUCCGUGCAGGGAUGAGGCGAGAGGAGCCAGGGAAGAGACUGCACGGCACCACCACACCUGAACGUGGCCUUGCCGUUGGCAAAGGAAGCAGAAGAUCCGGUUUGACGAAAAAGAUCAAGAGUAGUUGCACAACAGGCUUCUGAGUUGGGAACGUCUUUUAUAUAUUGUCAGUUUCUACCAUGACAGGUGCUGAGAACACUGCGUGAACAAAGCAGACAGAGGUCCCGCCUGUCACUGAGCUCCACUUCAGGGUUGGCAGCCAAGGCAUCUCAGAGGCAGUGCUCUCUGAGCUGAGCUCUCACUAUGAAAAGGAGUGCGCCCAGGGGAGAACACCUGGAAGAGUGUUCCAAGGAGGGGGAACAGCCCAGUGCAGAGGCUUUGAGAAGAGCAUCAGUCCCAUGCAUUCCAGGAAAAGGAAGGAAUGUGGUGAGUCAUUCCUGGGUUCCAAGUCACCCACACAUGAAGGCCACUUGUAGCUGCUAGGUCACUGGGCAGGAGCCAUGCCAAGAAAGAAAGAAAUGUCCUCUGCCAAAGGUAAGAGAUUCAGAUAACAAGGGCCCUCUAAUUCCAUUCCGAGCUAGGGGUGCUGGGGCGGCUGUGGUUUCAGAAAAUCAAUAUGGCAGCCUGUGGCAAUGGCCCUGAAUGGAAAGAGACUGGAGCCUGAGAACCACAGAGGGGACACUCCGAAGGUGGUGACAGAAAGCAAGAGAGAGAUGAGGUCUCUUUAGAGAGAAAGGGGGAACAGAGCAUGCUGCUUUUAGGAGAAAAUCAUCAGUUUGGGCGAGGAAGAACGGGGACCUGAAAAUAAGAAAUAAGAGAAGUUAGUUUAGGGCAUUUUUCCCACAGAGGGCCAGAGUUUGAGUAGAAGCCAGAGAGAGUCCUCUUUAGA
This is a long non-coding RNA of Phyllostomus hastatus (greater spear-nosed bat), 895 nucleotides long. RefSeq lists it as uncharacterized. The record is from RefSeq and is a predicted model, not a curated record. NCBI's taxonomy places the organism in Eukaryota, Metazoa, Chordata, Mammalia, Chiroptera, Phyllostomidae. The transcript has 3 exons.